This 253-nucleotide ribosomal RNA is filed under the name uncultured bacterium. Its description in RNAcentral is "partial 16S ribosomal RNA". It matches the Rfam family "Bacterial small subunit ribosomal RNA", at positions 524 to 776 of the family's 1533-position model. The record is from RNAcentral.
UACGUAGGGUGCGAGCGUUGUCCGGAAUUACUGGGCGUAAAGCGCGUGUAGGCGGCCAAGCAAGUCGGAUGUGAAAGCCCUCGGCUCAACCUGGGGGCUGCAUUUGAUACGUUCGGACUAGAGUGGGGAAGAGGGUCGUGGAAUUCCCAGUGUAGAGGUGAAAUUCGUAGAUAUUGGGAAGAACACCGGUGGCGAAGGCGGCGACCUGGUCCUUGACUGACGCUGAGGCGCGAAAGCGUGGGGAGCAAACAGG